AGCGAACGCUGGCGGCAGGCCUAAUACAUGCAAGUCGAGCGCACCUUCGGGUGAGCGGCGGACGGGUGAGUAACGCGUGGGAAUGUGCCCUUUGGUACGGAACAACUGAGGGAAACUUCAGCUAAUACCGUAUGUGCCCUUCGGGGAAGAUUAUCGCCAUUGGAGCAGCCCGCGUUGGAUUAGGUAGUUGGUGGGGUAAAGGCUCACCAAGCCUACGAUCCAUAGCUGGUCNGAGAGGAUGAUCAGCCACAUUGGGACUGAGACACGGCCCAAACUCCUACGGGAGGCAGCAGUGGGGAAUCUUGCGCAAUGGGCGAAAGCCUGACGCAGCCAUGCCGCGUGGAUGAUGAAGUCUUAGGAUUGUAAAAUCCUUUCACCGGGGACGAUAAUGACGGUACCCGGAGAAGAA
This 409-nucleotide ribosomal RNA is filed under the name uncultured bacterium. Its description in RNAcentral is "bacterial SSU rRNA". It matches the Rfam family "Bacterial small subunit ribosomal RNA", at positions 29 to 489 of the family's 1533-position model. The record is from RNAcentral.